RNAcentral lists this small RNA (347 nucleotides) under uncultured Agathobacter sp. RNAcentral describes it as "cspA thermoregulator". The record is from RNAcentral. Lineage: Bacteria; Bacillati; Bacillota; Clostridia; Lachnospirales; Lachnospiraceae.
GCUGGUUCGACAGUUCUUAAAGAAGCAUGAGAUCGCUUUUGAAGAACUUUAAUUUGUCGCUUUACUUUUCUAAACUGUUAUGCUAUUCUAAGCAUAGUUGCAGGUCAACACAAAUAUAUUGGAGGUACUUUCGAUGAACAAAGGUACAGUAAAGUGGUUCAACAACCAGAAAGGUUACGGAUUCAUUACUGCUGAAGAUGGCAAGGAUGUAUUCGUACAUUACUCAGGACUGAACAUGGAGGGAUUUAAGUCUCUCGAAGAGGGCGCAGCAGUUGAAUUUGAGAUCGCUGAUGGUGCUAAGGGUCCACAGGCAGUUAACGUAGUAGUUGUUAAAUAAUUGCCGAACA